AACGGCGAGUGAAGCGGCAAGAGCUCAAAUUUGAAAUCUGGCCUCCUUCGGGGGGUCCGAGUUGUAAUUUGUAGAGGAUGCUUCGGGUGUGGCCGCCGUCUAAGUUCCUUGGAACAGGACGUCAGAGAGGGUGAGAAUCCCGUCUUGGGCGGCCGGUCCGCGCCCGUGUGAAGCUCCUUCGACGAGUCGAGUUGUUUGGGAAUGCAGCUCUAAGCGGGUGGUAAAUUUCAUCUAAAGCUAAAUACUGGUCGGAGACCGAUAGCGCACAAGUAGAGUGAUCGAAAGGUUAAAAGCACCUUGAAAAGGGAGUUAAACAGCACGUGAAAUUGUUGAAAGGGAAGCGCUUGCGGCCAGACUCGGGGGCGGGGUUCAGCGGGCGCUCGUCGCCCGUGUACUCCCCGUCUCCCGGGCCAGCAUCAGUUUCGACGGCCGGUCAAAGGCCCCCGGAAUGUGUCGUCUCUCGGGACGUCUUAUAGCCGGGGGUGCAAUGCGGCCCGUCGGGACUGAGGAACGCGCUCCGGCUCGGAUGCUGGCGUAAUGGCCGUAAGCGGCCCGUCUUGAAACACGGACCAAGGAGUCUAACAUCCACGCGAGUGUUCGGGUGUCAAACCCGUGCGCGCAGUGAAAGCGAACGGAGGUGGGAGCCUUAGGGCGCACCAUCGACCGAUCCUGAAGUCUUCGGAUGGAUUUGAGUAGGAGCGUGGCCGUUGGGACCCGAAAGAUGGUGAACUAUGCCUGAAUAGGGUGAAGCCAGAGGAAACUCUGGUGGAGGCUCGCAGCGGUUCUGACGUGCAAAUCGAUCGUCAAAUUU
RNAcentral lists this ribosomal RNA (811 nucleotides) under Nannizzia persicolor. RNAcentral's name for it is "eukaryotic LSU rRNA". It matches the Rfam family "Eukaryotic large subunit ribosomal RNA", at positions 85 to 912 of the family's 3401-position model. The record is from RNAcentral. Lineage: Eukaryota; Fungi; Ascomycota; Eurotiomycetes; Onygenales; Arthrodermataceae.